GACGACCGCGGGCGCUAGUUGCUCGAGGAAAGUCCGGACUCCAUAGGAUACAACGACGGAUAACAUCCGCCGAUCGCAAGAUCAGGGAAAGCGCAACAGAAAAGAUACCGCCUCUCUGAGGUAAGGGUGAAAUGGCGAGGUAAGAGCUCACCGCGUUUUUGGUAACAAGAACGGCAUGGCAAGCCCCGUUGGGAGCAAGGUUAAAACGCGUCGCGUUUGUACGGAAGGCGAUCCGCUUUAAAGACGCAGGUAAACCGCUAGAGCGUAUGGGCAACUAUACGCCUGGAUAAAUGGUCGUCCUCUUUUUUGAGACAGAAUCCGGCUUAUUAUCCAGCG
Molecule: RNase P RNA, 336 nt
Filed under: pig gut metagenome
Description: Bacterial RNase P class A
Rfam family: Bacterial RNase P class A
About the family: Ribonuclease P (RNase P) is a ubiquitous endoribonuclease, found in archaea, bacteria and eukarya as well as chloroplasts and mitochondria. Its best characterised activity is the generation of mature 5'-ends of tRNAs by cleaving the 5'-leader elements of precursor-tRNAs. Cellular RNase Ps are ribonucleoproteins.
Source: RNAcentral